UAGGCUUUUUGGCCUUUUGGCCAAGAUCAAGUGUAGUAUCUGUUCUUAUCAGUUUAAUAUCUGGUACACGUUCUAUCCAAGGACAAUAUAGUAAGUGGAUUUUUGAGAUACACUAAUUGGUUUCAUUUAUACUACUAGUUUAUCUUAGUUCAUUGAAAAGAAAGAUUUGUGCUAUUU
Molecule: small nuclear RNA, 177 nt
Organism: Heterocephalus glaber (naked mole-rat)
Lineage: Eukaryota; Metazoa; Chordata; Mammalia; Rodentia; Bathyergidae
Gene: U2
Rfam family: U2 spliceosomal RNA
About the family: U2 is a small nuclear RNA (snRNA) component of the spliceosome (involved in pre-mRNA splicing).
Source: Ensembl